Long non-coding RNA from Rhipicephalus microplus (southern cattle tick), 2414 nucleotides. Lineage: Eukaryota; Metazoa; Arthropoda; Arachnida; Ixodida; Ixodidae. The record is from RefSeq and is a predicted model, not a curated record.
CGCAGGUUAUCGCUGUGCAGACUGAAGAAUGGCCAUGGCUACAGUUCUGCGAGUCUACUUGUGGUGAGACUAAGGACGAAAGUGAUUGUCUGCGUGCUCAUGGGAUAAAUACCAAAGGCUGGCUCCAAGAACAGAAAAGGCCACAAAGUGGUUUGGUCACAAGGAAGGCUUUUGUGCUCUAUUCUACUCGACCGGUGAACGGACACUUGUGAGUUACAGCUUUUGUUCUUCAAGUCUGCCAGAAGGACUUCUACGAAUGAAGAAACUUCCAGGUCACAUCCAAAAGUCCCACAAAAGAAAGGCCUCACGAAUGUCUAGACUCAAGCCUGUGCUCCAUGGCAGCAUGCAGCGCGGCUCAUUACGCUAGCUGUGGUGAAUGCAGGUCUGCUGGGCAGCUGGAAGAACUUCACCAUCAAAACUAGCCUUGCCUAUGAAUUGCCCCAGAUGAAAAAUGCCAUUCUGCCGUGGCGUGCAUUCAUGGCAACACAGGAACGGUGUCUUUUCUGGGAGUGUGGGGUUCGCUUGACACAUUGCUUGAUAGUGUGUAAAGAAGUGGCUUCUGGUUGGCUAACGAGCAUUCAGUGGCGCAAAGGAUGCUGCGAAGAUAGCGCAAUGCUUGUCAUCUUGUAAGCAGCCAGUGGAAAAACUCUGGAGGUUGACUGCUGUGUCAACCACUGCCAAAAGUGCUCUAUCUGCGAGUUUCCCCCGGUUUGGUGCUAAUUUGGGAUAAUAGUACUAAAAUGAGCAAGUAUUCUGAGUGCGAACAGGUGAGUGUGUGGCAAAUAUACUAAAACACGAUAGAGGGCACUUUGUGGUGGCUGCUAAAAUGUACAGGGUGCUCCACUAAAUGUCAGCACGCUUACUUUGCUAAUCCUUGUAAAGACUGCAUUUAAGUGCUUAUUGUGGGCCGUCUGCCAGUGCAGGAUGAGUCUGCCUACAGUGCCCAGCUGUUGCUCCAUGCAAAAUAUUACCGCUUUUCUAUUCACUUGUGUCUCUGUGCCUGCAGCAUACAAAAUCAAGUCGCAGCAAAAUGUGAUUUUAAAAAAUGGUGCAGCUCUGUGCUGUGCUGUGACUGCUACAAUGUCAAGCAAUUGGUUCUGUCAUAUAUUACACAUAGUGGAAGUGACAGCAGUUGGUAGAAAAGCCUCGUCCUUUCCAGUUUAUUUUAGUUGUACCAGCCGAGUGUUGGUGGAAUUGGAGUUUGAAGCUGGUUGCCCCAUGCUCGUGUGUUGCCUGUCAUAGUGCUCACAGUAUCACAUAGUGUAAUGGUUUCCCCAUUUUUUGUAUUUGCGACAUGUUUGCUGUGUGUUGUGUUCACUUGCUUACUUUGAUAUGCCUAGAGACAGUGUGCAUCUGUGUUUCCUAUGACUUCUCUCGAGGAAGCUGCUCAUAGGACCUUACUCAGAGAGUAGGCCACUUCAAAUGUUACAGUAUGAUCAGCACCCACUGUGCUUCCCAAAUGGUAGAAUGAAGAAUGGUCAACUAAAGUUUCCACUAGUGUGGGCAGCAAAAGAAGAAACUUGAGGGAUUGUGCUAUAAGUGAGAGGAAAAGAACACCAAAUGUUUUGUCCAUAGACGAGACGGAAGGCAUGUGCCUGGAUGAAUACCGGAUAUUUUUAGGCAGAUUGUGAGAAAGCUCUGAAAGUCAAAAAUAUAUUGGAAUGGAAAUAGAAUGCCAGCUUCUGGUGGAGAGGAUUAGUGAAUGCAGAACCUUAUGAGGGCUAAUCAACACUAGUAGUGAACAUUCCAUGACAGUGCUCUGUCUCCCAUAGCUGUAGAUCCGUAGUCCUAGAGCAGAUAGUCCAAAAGAGACAAGUUCCACACUGGCCCAUUACAUUCAUACUGGGUGAAUGACAAAAACUGAAAGCAGGUGGCAUGACUAGUUGCAUCUGGCAGCUGCAAUGGUCAUUCAAACUUUACAUUCAAGGCGUUAGGUGUUACCUAAAACAGGCAUUCAAUGAUAAGCACUUGCCCGCAUAAUUAGAGGUCCCUGUUGAAGUGAAGUUCAACUGCUGUGCACAGUGAUCUGGCUGGGCCGCACUUCCGUCAUAGCCGAUGCCACAGUGAUUCUCUUCUGUGUUUUCGGUGCUGUGGGGAGAUAUUUCAAGGUCAAGCAAGAACUAUGGUAGCAAACUAUGAGCACAGCAGUUUUGAAAUGCAGCUUCCUACAGGUUUGAAGCGAACCGGCUAAGACCUAGCCUUCAAUACCUGGCAUGUUGAUCUCCGGUGAUUGGCCACAUUGCUAUGUGGCUGCUAGAAAAAGUCGUAAUUGUGGGCUAUGUCAACAACAUGGGCUGUGCAUUAAUAAAUGACCAAUAGAUGAAUAUAAAAAAACAAUUGGUCUGCAAGAAUAUAACAUAUCUUGUGUUGCAAAAUGAUUGUUGAAUAUUUAAUAAAUAAUGUUAUUGAAACCU